UGGUUAGCUCAGUUGGUAGAGCGCUCCACCUGUAAUGGAGAGGUCCCGGGUUCGAUACCCGGACCA
Ixodes scapularis (black-legged tick) is the source of this 66-nucleotide non-coding RNA. Lineage: Eukaryota; Metazoa; Arthropoda; Arachnida; Ixodida; Ixodidae. The record is from Rfam.